RNAcentral lists this microRNA precursor (103 nucleotides) under Sorex araneus (European shrew). Its description in RNAcentral is "miRNA (ENSSARG00000016577.1)". The stretch from base 16 to 86 matches the Rfam family "mir-503 microRNA precursor family". The record is from RNAcentral. Lineage: Eukaryota; Metazoa; Chordata; Mammalia; Eulipotyphla; Soricidae.
CUCGGCACUCAGCCGUGCCCUAGCAGCGGGAACAGUACUGCAGUGAGUAAUCUGUACCCUGGAGUAUUGUUUCUGCUGCCCGGGCAAGGCUGGGACUGGCACC